This 200-nucleotide unclassified non-coding RNA is filed under the name soil metagenome. RNAcentral describes it as "partial contains internal transcribed spacer 2 and large subunit ribosomal RNA". The record is from RNAcentral.
AUUAGCGGGGUCCUCUUUGCCGAUCCUCGACAUGUGAUAAGAUGUUUCCAUGUCUUGGCUUUAUGGCUCUGUUGCCUUUGGGACCCGCUUCUAACCGUCUCAGCGAGACAACGUUCGAGCGUGUCCUCCCCUCUCGGGGACAACACUCUAACCCACGAAACCUUGACCUCAAAUCGGGUGAGACUACCCGCUGAACUUAA